Molecule: ribosomal RNA, 253 nt
Filed under: uncultured bacterium
Lineage: Bacteria
Description: partial 16S ribosomal RNA
Rfam family: Bacterial small subunit ribosomal RNA
Source: RNAcentral
UACGAAGGGUGCAAACGUUGCUCGGAAUCAUUGGGCGUAAAGCGCACGUAGGCGGCCUGAUAAGUCGGAUGUGAAAUCCCUCGGCUCAACUGAGGACGUGCAUUCGAAACUGCCAGGCUCGAGUAUGGAAGAGGGUCGCGGAAUUCCCGGUGUAGAGGUGAAAUUCGUAGAUAUCGGGAGGAACACCAGUGGCGAAGGCGGCGACCUGGGCCAAUACUGACGCUGAGGUGCGAAAGCGUGGGGAGCAAACAGG